This is a non-coding RNA of Ictidomys tridecemlineatus (thirteen-lined ground squirrel), 273 nucleotides long. The record is from Rfam. NCBI's taxonomy places the organism in Eukaryota, Metazoa, Chordata, Mammalia, Rodentia, Sciuridae.
GUAAUUGUUGUAUUCUGCUACCUUUCCUACUAUCCCCCUAAGGUUGAUCUGGCUGGCUAGGCGGAUGUCCCCUUCCUCCCUCACCGGUCCACGUGCGUCCCUCCCGAAGCUGCGCGCUUGGUGGAAGAGAACGACCUUCCCCGAUAGAGGAGGACCAGUCUUCAGUCAAGGGUAUACGAGUAGCUGGGCUCCCCUGCUAGAACCUCCAAACAAGCUCGCAAGACUUACUAUUGUUGGGAAUAGUGCCAUAUGCCUAUAAUCCCAGGGACUUAG